This 496-nucleotide ribosomal RNA is filed under the name uncultured bacterium. Its description in RNAcentral is "partial 16S ribosomal RNA". It matches the Rfam family "Bacterial small subunit ribosomal RNA", at positions 28 to 507 of the family's 1533-position model. The record is from RNAcentral.
GAUGAACGCUGGCGGCGUGCCUAAUACAUGCAAGUCGAGCGAACGGACGAGAAGCUUGCUUCUCUGAUGUUAGCGGCGGACGGGUGAGUAACACGUGGAUAACCUACCUAUAAGACUGGGAUAACUUCGGGAAACCGGAGCUAAUACCGGAUAAUAUUUUGAACCGCAUGGUUCAAAAGUGAAAGACGGUCUUGCUGUCACUUAUAGAUGGAUCCGCGCUGCAUUAGCUAGUUGGUAAGGUAACGGCUUACCAAGGCAACGAUGCAUAGCCGACCUGAGAGGGUGAUCGGCCACCUUGGAACGGAAACAGGGUCCAGACCCCUACGGGAGGCAGCAGUGGGGAAUCUCCGGCAAUGGGGAAAAGCCUAAGGGAGCAACGCCGGGUGAGUGAUGAAGGUUUUCGGUUCGAAAAACUCUGUUAUUGGGAAAGAAAAUAUGUGUAGGUAACUGUGCAGAUCUUGAGGGUCCCUAUCAGAAAGCCACGGCUAACUACGUG